CUUGACACUGAACACUGGUCCUUGAUGUGUAGGAUAGGUGGGAGGCUUUGAAGCGAGGACGCCAGUUCUUGUGGAGCCAACCUUGAAAUACCACCCUUUAAUGGCUGGUGUUCUAACGUGGACCCGUUACCCGGGUUGCGGACAGUGUCUGGUGGGUAGUUUGACUGGGGCGGUCUCCUCCUAAAGCGUAACGGAGGAGCACGAAGGUUAGCUAAUCCUGGUCGGACAUCAGGAGGUUAGUGCAAUGGCAUAAGCUA
RNAcentral lists this ribosomal RNA (257 nucleotides) under Enterobacter sp. ENT03. RNAcentral describes it as "partial 23S ribosomal RNA". It matches the Rfam family "Bacterial large subunit ribosomal RNA", at positions 2110 to 2366 of the family's 2925-position model. Lineage: Bacteria; Pseudomonadati; Pseudomonadota; Gammaproteobacteria; Enterobacterales; Enterobacteriaceae. The record is from RNAcentral.